This 1241-nucleotide long non-coding RNA is filed under the name Homo sapiens (human). Its description in RNAcentral is "novel transcript". The record is from RNAcentral. Lineage: Eukaryota; Metazoa; Chordata; Mammalia; Primates; Hominidae.
GUUCCUGCUCCGGCUCCUGCGGGGAUGGAUGCUUCACGCAGUAAGCGAGUAAGCGAGCCCUGGAGACCGGGGCCCUGGGUGUGCGGUCGGCUCAGUGCCACGCGGUGAGAUAGGCAUGGUUAUCAACCCACGCCAAGGCGGUUGUGUACCUGGCAUAGAAAACACUGCUGUUGAAUGUUGUUUCCAUAGUCAUUCGCCAGCGUCCACUGAUGAGAGGUGCCACCACGGACACCCGGCCUUGCUCCGUCGAAGCUUUGGUCCAUUAGGACCAAAGUCAGGCCCCAGCGGGCCUCCCUGCCAUUCCUGGACGGCCUCGCGUCCUCCCAGAGCCUGACCUUCUCUUAUCUCUGCAGCCUAAGUCGCGGAAGCGUAGACACCCGGCUUUUCCCGCGUGCUCUAUCGGGCUCCCCUGGACACGGAGGGUGGAGCAGAAAGAGCAGAGGGGCCGGUGGGAGCCAUGGGGAGUCCGCCUAGCUCCAGAGGACACCUUACCUGGAUCCGCCUUUGUAGCCUCCUCCUGGCUCUGGGGGCUGUCCUGUGGGGUCCGAGUAGCUGAAAGACAGCCCCUCCAUGUGAGGAAGCCCCCAACUGGGGAAAACCCCCUCGUGGACUCAUUCCUGUCCCUGCAUGUGGCCUUCACCUGACUGUCUGCAUUGAGGCAUCCUCUGCCAAGAGCAAUUUCAAAGUGGAAAGUGCUGCUUUCAACAUCUGCCACAUUUGCAAGAAGAGCAAAGGUGGCCCAUUUGAGACCACCCUUGAACUAAACCAUCCAGUGAGCCCCUGAGGUCGGGACAGAAGUGGCCAUGACCUUCCUCAAGCAGGGACUGUGGUGGAGCCCACCUUAUCCAGCACAAGGUGGCCUGCUGACUUCUGGUGACAGUGAUGCCAACUUCCUGGCUGUCCAAGAAGCUGACAAGUACCUGCCGGAAAAACUGCCUCUUUUCCCUCCCGUGCUUGGAGCAGGCAUUGCUGACAGAUCACAGCUGCUGGGCCCAAAGGUCCCUUUGCACGCGGGACUUCAGGAAGUUGCUGCUGACCUAUGGGAGUUGGUGCAGAAAGAUGAAAUUUGUUAUCCUUGGCUGUAUCAACUCUCUCUCCUCUCCUUGGUGGUGAUAGUUUUGUUCUUAAAAGCCUCUUGUGAGAGAAUUUGUGGAUGAAGAACCUGUAAGAUCACAAGUGAAACAAUUUAUUGAUGUCAAUAGAUUUAUACACGUUCAUUAAGAAUCAAAACUAAACUAAAA